Molecule: long non-coding RNA, 4296 nt
Filed under: Sarcophilus harrisii (Tasmanian devil)
Lineage: Eukaryota; Metazoa; Chordata; Mammalia; Dasyuromorphia; Dasyuridae
Description: lncRNA (ENSSHAG00000020623.1)
Source: RNAcentral
UUCCAUAGAGUUUUAGUAAAUUAAGAGAAAAUGCAGAGAAAUUGAAACUCAUUCACCUUUGAAUGUGAAUAUUCCUCAUCCUAUAACAAUGAUUGUUUAAUGUCUUGAUUUGGAGUUUCAUUAGGAUAUAAAACUCCUGAUGUGGCUUCCCUUUUAAUUGAGUAUAAUAAGGAAUUUAAUAAAAACACAAUUUACGAAAGUCACUUUUUCUAUGUCUAUUAGCAAUACAAACUGUUAGCGUUUUGGUACACUGCCCAUAUUUUAUCUUUUCUUUUUCCUUACAAAGCAGGGCUUCUUAACUGGAGAUAGAGUGCCAAGAGCUCCAUGAAUAGAUUUCAAGGCAGAGAGCUUCUCUGUGCUAACAACGAAGAUGUACAUGAUCUCGACUACAAUAUAAUUUGAAAUAUGGUAAAAGUGGAACAUGGAAGAAUCAUUUACAUCACAGUUAUUGCAGUUCUACGUGCCAUACAUCUGAGACAACAAUCAACAAAGUUCUCAGGGGCCUGUACUUGUGUGAGCACUGGCAUAGCUUGACUAAAAAGAAGACUGCCUCAGGAUGUCUCCCAAGAAAGAAGUCAAGGGACAAAGUCUACUAUUCUGUUUUCAAUAUAUCUUAAUUAAUGUAAAUAGCAUUUAGUUUUGAAAAAUGAACAUAUUAGAUGAUUCAACAAUGUUUUUGAAUUUUUCUUUCCUUCCAAUUGGACAUUUAAAUCUUAGUGUGGUUUACCCAAUUAGAAUAGCACUUAAAAUCUCUCAAGUUACAAGUCUUUCUAACUUUUAUAACUUAAAAUGAAAUCAUCUAUUGCAAAAUGCGUCUAUAUGAAUAUGCACGUUCCCCUUCCUUUAUAUUCCUUUUCUUUUCCCCUUUCUCUUCCUUUCCUUUUACCUUCCUUUUUCCUUCCCUUCUUCAUUUCCCUUUCCUUUUCCCUUCCUUUCUGUCUCCUUUCCUUUUUGUUCUCUUCCCUUCCCUUUAUCUUAUUUUCUUUUCCUUUCCUUUCCCUUCCCCUUCCCUUUCUUUCCAUUUCUUUUCCGUUCCCCUUCUUCUUACUUUCCUUUUCCCUUACUUUUCUCUUCCCUUCUCUUUCCCUUUCAUUUCCUUUCUCUUCCCCAAUAUUAUAACUUACAAGUUAUUUUUUUUUUGGCAACAGAUGAUUUCUUAUUUUUUCUGCAUUUGCCAUAAACCAAGCAAUUGAUCUGGGAACUUAAUAGUUGCAGCUCCUACCCUUGAAUUAUCCAGCAAAUUAGUUCAAUAUCUACAAAAAGAAAUCUUACAUCUUUCUCACCCUUUCUAUAGUCAAUUUCCUGUUCUCAAUAACCCCAUUCCCACACACUUUCACAUCAAAAAAACAAACUCCUCUUACCAUCAAAAAAGAAACUUACCUAUUAUAAAGGAGAAAUAACAAGAAAAUACUGGUCCAGGCAAAAGACAAUCCAAGGAAAACUCCUUGAGUCCUAGAGCUUAGGAACUGAGCAGUAAGUUUAAAUGGAUCUCAAGGUAAAAGUGAUGCAGUUGUUCUCUGAUGUGAGAUUAUCAAAAUCUGCAUUGACUCCUCUGCUGCUGGAGCUGCCCCUUUGUUCUAAGCACAAUGCUAAUGGUAAAAUUGUAGUUUGCUCCUGCUUGCUCAGUGAACACUGAUGCAGUCUGACACACAGCUUGUAGCCUGACUAUCUGACUAUCCAAGAGGAGGAGAAACCACAAUAUUGCAUCUGUGCCCCUCAUAUAAAUCUACCACAAAAAUGAGCCAGACCAGAUGUGUGAAUCUGAGGGAUGGAAAGCUGUGGUCAUGUUAAUGUUAUCUGACCUCAUUUGAAAAAUGCAUUAGAGUACCAGGAAAACAUAAAGUGAUUCUCCCUCCUCCCUUUCCUAGGUCAGGGGUGUUUAUUUGUCCAUUUCAAUUGUUAUUUCUUGAUGGCAAGAAAAUUUUGCCGCUAUAUAAAACCUUUAAUGAUUCAGAUGGAAAAGAAGCUCUUUAGGUCAGUGAAAGAUAGGGAGAUCUAAGUAUAACUGACUGAAAUUAUAUAUAUAAAAAAAACAAAGUCCACGAGCAGGAAAAAGCUCAAUAGAUUAACUUUUGAAGCUGUAGAAGAAGCCACCUAAGUAUAACAGCAUAUAGAUUCUUUUUAAUAGGGUUUUCCAAGUUUCUGUACAGGGUUACAGAAUUAGGGAUUGUAAAUACCUCUACUAUUUAUUAUAAUUUUUAUACAUGACAUUUCUUUAUUUCUUUCAUUUUUUUCAUCUUGUUGGAAAGGUUGUUAUCCAUUUUCUAAUAGAAGAAACUGGGGUAAGGAUCAACUCAGUAUAAUGAAAAAUACCUGACUUGGAGGCAAAAGAAACUGGAGUUUAAAUUUGGACUACCAUGUACUUCAAUUAUAUGAUUUGAGGCAAUAAAUUUUUUAAAAUUUUUUUCACCUUUAUAAACCUCAACUUCCUUAUCUUUAAAACGGAGGUUAUAUUAACAUUACCUGCCCCAUACAUUUAUGAAGAAAAUAAUUUAUGAAUUCUUUGGUUUAUUUCUUCAGGGACUGCUACAGUUUAAUAAACCAUGGUGUUGUGAGAAAAAAGUACUUUAACAUAAUCAAAGAUCUUUGCUACAGAAGACCUGGCUUUUCCAAUUAUUAUAGCAUUAACUUUAGCAAUCCACUUAGGCAUUGUAAAUCUCAGAUUUUUCAUCUGUAAAAUGGGAUCACUCCUUGAACUGUCCACUUCACAGUAUAUUUGUCAAGACCAAAUAGCAUAACAUGAAAGCUUUUCAUAAACCUUAAACAGAAAUGCAACUUAUUUACUUCUAAGAAUCUUUCACAAUUUAUUAACAUACAUAGAGCAAUAUAGUUAAAAUACAAAAUCCAUUUGUAGCAAUAUGUGUGUGUGUAUAUAUAUAUAUAUAUAUAUAUAUAUAUAUAUAUAUGGAGAGAGAGAGAGAGUGAGUUUUUGGUAAUAGUUCCUUGCACAUAAUAGGUGUUUAAGUUCAUUAAUCAAAAGUGCUUGUUUUUGUAGUAUCAUGCUUAUAUUAUUUUGCUACUUGUAGAAACUUUAUAACAUCUAACACCAUCUAAAAAUCAAAUUGAAAGGCCUUAUGAUGCAAUGAGUUCUCUGUCACUGGAGAAGUUCAGGCUUAUAGGAAAUGUUAUAAAGAAAAUUACAUUUGUGGAAAAUAUUGAACCAAAUGAUCAUUAAGAAUUCUUCUAAUAUGAAUUUUUAUUAAUUUGUGUCUAUUUCUGUAUUUUGCAAAAUUUCCUAGUCAAAUUAGUUCAUUUCCCCUAGGAGAAAUAUAAACAUAAAUAAAAUUUUUGCUCUCAAGAAAAUCCUUCUUUGCAUAUACUCAUCUAAAUUAAUUCACAGUAUUUUGUAUACAGUAGAAACUUAAUAUAUGUUUCCUUUUCCUUUUGGAAAAGGAAAACAGAAAUAAAGAUUGUGCCUUCUAAGGAAUGGUACUUCAGAAAAAUAAUAUUAAAACCAAGAUGGAAAGGAAAGUAACCAAGAAAUCUUACGUUUUCAAGAAAAAAUGUUAAAAUCAGAAAUGUUCCAAAUCACUAUUGAUUAAAGAAAUACAAAUUAAGAAACUCUGAGAUACCACUACACAUCUCUCAGAUUGGCUAAGAUAAUAGGAAAAGAUAAUGAUAAAUGUUGGAGGGGAUGUGGGAAAACUGGGACACUAAUGAAUUGUUGGUGGAGUUGUGAACUGAGCCAACCAUUCUGGGGAGCAAUUUAGAACUAUGCCCAACGGGUUAUCAAACCACACAUACCUUUUAACUCAGCAGUGUUUCUACUGGAUCUCUAUCCCAAAGAGAUCAUAAAAAAGGGAAAAAGGACCCACAUGUUCAAAAAUGUUUGUAGCAGCCUUUUUGUAGUGGCAAGGAUUUGGAAAAUGAGUGGAUGACCAUCAAUUGGGGAAUAGCUGAAUAAGUUAUGGUAUAUGAAUGUAAUGGAAUAUUAUUGUUCUAUAAGAAACAAUUAGUAGGAUAAUUUCAGAAAAGUCUGGAGAAACUUACAUGAACUGAUGCUAAGUGAAGUAAGUAGAACCAAGAAAACAUUGCACACAGUAACAACAAGAUUAUGGGAUAUACUCUGAUAGACCUGGCUCUUUUGAACAAUGAGGUGAUUCAGGCCAAUUCAAUAGACUUGUGAUGAAGAGAGCCAUCUGCAUCCAGAAAGAGGAUUAUGGGGACUAAAUGUGAAUCACAACAUAGUAUUUUCACCUUUGUUGUUGUUUGCUUGCUUUUUUUCCCUUAUUUUUUCCUUUUUGAUCUGAUUAUAGUUGUGCAGCAUAAUAAUGUGGAAAUAGUUUAGAAUUGCAC